RNAcentral lists this ribosomal RNA (465 nucleotides) under Vreelandella stevensii. Its description in RNAcentral is "partial 16S ribosomal RNA". It matches the Rfam family "Bacterial small subunit ribosomal RNA", at positions 338 to 795 of the family's 1533-position model. The record is from RNAcentral. Lineage: Bacteria; Pseudomonadati; Pseudomonadota; Gammaproteobacteria; Oceanospirillales; Halomonadaceae.
CCUACGGGUGGCAGCAGUGGGGAAUAUUGGACAAUGGGCGAAAGCCUGAUCCAGCCAUGCCGCGUGUGUGAAGAAGGCCUUCGGGUUGUAAAGCACUUUCAGUGGGGAAGAAAGCCUUGGGGCUAAUACCCUCGAGGAAGGACAUCACCCACAGAAGAAGCACCGGCUAACUCCGUGCCAGCAGCCGCGGUAAUACGGAGGGUGCGAGCGUUAAUCGGAAUUACUGGGCGUAAAGCGCGCGUAGGCGGUCUGAUAAGCCGGUUGUGAAAGCCCCGGGCUCAACCUGGGAACGGCAUCCGGAACUGUCAGGCUAGAGUGCAGGAGAGGAAGGUAGAAUUCCCGGUGUAGCGGUGAAAUGCGUAGAGAUCGGGAGGAAUACCAGUGGCGAAGGCGGCCUUCUGGACUGACACUGACGCUGAGGUGCGAAAGCGUGGGUAGCAAAUAGGAUUAGAUACCCCAGUAGUC